This 492-nucleotide ribosomal RNA is filed under the name uncultured bacterium. RNAcentral's name for it is "partial 16S ribosomal RNA". It matches the Rfam family "Bacterial small subunit ribosomal RNA", at positions 29 to 507 of the family's 1533-position model. The record is from RNAcentral.
AGUGAACGCUGGCGGUAGGCCUAACACAUGCAAGUCGAACGGCAGCACAGUAAGAGCUUGCUCUUACGGGUGGCGAGUGGCGGACGGGUGAGGAAUACAUCGGAAUCUACUUUUUCGUGGGGGAUAACGUAGGGAAACUUACGCUAAUACCGCAUACGACCUACGGGUGAAAGCAGGGGAUCUUCGGACCUUGCGCGAUUGAAUGAGCCGAUGUCGGAUUAGCUAGUUGGCGGGGUAAGGGCCCACCAAGGCGACGAUCCGUAGCUGGUCUGAGAGGAUGAUCAGCCACACUGGAACUGAGACACGGUCCAAACUCCUACGGGAGGCAGCAGUGGGGAAUAUUGGACAAUGGGCGCAAGCCUGAUCCAGCCAUACCGCGUGGGUGAAGAAGGCCUUCGGGUUGUAAAGCCCUUUUGUUGGGAAAGAAAAGCAGCAGGUUAAUACCCCGCUGUUCUGACGGUACCCAAAGAAUAAGCACCGGCUAACUUCGUG